GAUGAACGCUGGCGGCGUGCCUAAUACAUGCAAGUCGAGCGAACGGACGAGAAGCUUGCUUCUCUGAUGUUAGCGGCGGACGGGUGAGUAACACGUGGAUAACCUACCUAUAAGACUGGGAUAACUUCGGGAAACCGGAGCUAAUACCGGAUAAUAUUUUGAACCGCAUGGUUCAAAAGUAAAAGACGGUCUUGCUGUCACUUAUAGAUGGAUCCGCGCUGCAUUAGCUAGUUGGUAAGGUAACGGCUUACCAAGGCAACGAUGCAUAGCCGACCUGAGAGGGUGAUCGGCCACACUGGAACUGAGACACGGUCCAGACUCCUACGGGAGGCAGCAGUAGGGAAUCUUCCGCAAUAGGCGAAAGCCUGACGGAGCAACGCCGCGUGAGUGAUGAAGGUCUUCGGAUCGUAAAACUCUGUUAUUAGGGAAGAAUAUAUGUGUAAGUAACUGUGCACAUCUUGACGGUACCUAAUCAGAAAGCCACGGCUAACUACGUGCCAGCAGCCGCGGUAAUACGUAGGUGGCAAGCGUUAUCCGGAAUUAUUGGGCGUAAAGCGCGCGUAGGCGGUUUUUUAAGUCUGAUGUGAAAGCCCACGGCUCAACCGUGGAGGGUCAUUGGAAACUGGAAAACUUGAGUGCAGAAGAGGAAAGUGGAAUUCCAUGUGUAGCGGUGAAAUGCGCAGAGAUAUGGAGGAACACCAGUGGCGAAGGCGACUUUCUGGUCUGUAACUGACGCUGAUGUGCGAAGGCGUGGGGAUCAAACAGGAUUAGAUACCCUGGUAGUCCACGCCGUAAACGAUGAGUGCUAAGUGUUAGGGGGUUUCCGCCCCUUAGUGCUGCAGCUAACGCAUUAAGCACUCCGCCUGGGGAGUACGACCGCAAGGUUGAAACUCAAAGGAAUUGACGGGGACCCGCAUAAGCGGUGGAGCAUGUGGUUUAAUUCGAAGCAACGCGAAGAACCUUACCAAAUCUUGACAUCCUUUGACAACUCUAGAGAUAGAGCCUUCCCCUUCGGGGGACAAAGUGACAGGUGGUGCAUGGUUGUCGUCAGCUCGUGUCGUGAGAUGUUGGGUUAAGUCCCGCAACGAGCGCAACCCUUAAGCUUAGUUGCCAUCAUUAAGUUGGGCACUCUAAGUUGACUGCCGGUGACAAACCGGAGGAAGGUGGGGAUGACGUCAAAUCAUCAUGCCCCUUAUGAUUUGGGCUACACACGUGCUACAAUGGACAAUACAAAGGGCAGCGAAACCGCGAGGUCAAGCAAAUCCCAUAAAGUUGUUCUCAGUUCGGAUUGUAGUCUGCAACUCGACUACAUGAAGCUGGAAUCGCUAGUAAUCGUAGAUCAGCAUGCUACGGUGAAUACGUUCCCGGGUCU
Molecule: ribosomal RNA, 1372 nt
Filed under: uncultured bacterium
Lineage: Bacteria
Description: bacterial SSU rRNA
Rfam family: Bacterial small subunit ribosomal RNA
Source: RNAcentral